GCGGCAGUAGCGCAGUUGGUUAAACUUUGUCCAGUUCAGUUUCAGUGCCACAGCGCGUAGGUCUCAUAACACGAGCCCAAGAAAGCUAUCCUAAGGUCGUGAGUUCGAGUCUCACCUGCCGCA
This 123-nucleotide transfer RNA is filed under the name Cyanidioschyzon merolae strain 10D. It matches the Rfam family "tRNA". Rfam says of the family: Transfer RNA (tRNA) molecules are approximately 80 nucleotides in length. Their secondary structure includes four short double-helical elements and three loops (D, anti-codon, and T loops). The record is from Rfam by way of RNAcentral. Lineage: Eukaryota; Rhodophyta; Bangiophyceae; Cyanidiales; Cyanidiaceae.